RNAcentral lists this ribosomal RNA (253 nucleotides) under uncultured bacterium. RNAcentral describes it as "partial 16S ribosomal RNA". It matches the Rfam family "Bacterial small subunit ribosomal RNA", at positions 524 to 776 of the family's 1533-position model. The record is from RNAcentral.
UACGUAGGGGGCUAGCGUUGUCCGGAAUCAUUGGGCGUAAAGCGCGCGUAGGCGGCCCGAUAAGUCUGCUGUGAAAGUCCAGGGCUCAACCCUGGAAUGCCGGUGGAUACUGUCGGGCUAGAGUUCGGAAGAGGCAAGUGGAAUUCCUGGUGUAGCGGUGGAAUGCGCAGAUAUCAGGAGGAACACCGAUAGCGAAGGCAGCUUGCUGGGACGACACUGACGCUGAGGCGCGAAAGCGUGGGGAGCGAACAGG